AUUGAACGCUGGCGGCAUGCCUUACACAUGCAAGUCGAACGGCAGCACGGGAGCAAUCCUGGUGGCGAGUGGCGAACGGGUGAGUAAAGUAUCGGAACGUGCCCAGUCGUGGGGGAUAACGUAGCGAAAGUUACGCUAAUACCGCAUACGAUCUAUGGAUGAAAGCGGGGGAUCGCAAGACCUCGCGCGAUUGGAGCGGCCGAUAUCAGAUUAGGUAGUUGGUGGGGUAAAGGCUCACCAAGCCGACGAUCUGUAGCUGGUCUGAGAGGACGACCAGCCACAGUGGGACUGAGACACGGCCCAGACUCCUACGGGAGGCAGCAGUGGGGAAUUUUGGACAAUGGGCGAAAGCCUGACCCAGCCAUGCCGCGUGCAGGAUGAAGGCCUUCGGGUUGUAAACUGCUUUUGUACGGAACGAAAAGGUUUGGCCUAAUAAGCUGAGCUCAUGACGGUACCGUAAGAAUAAGCACCGGCUAACUACGUGCCAGCAGCCGCCGUAA
RNAcentral lists this ribosomal RNA (500 nucleotides) under uncultured bacterium. RNAcentral describes it as "partial 16S ribosomal RNA". It matches the Rfam family "Bacterial small subunit ribosomal RNA", at positions 30 to 523 of the family's 1533-position model. The record is from RNAcentral.